Papaver somniferum (opium poppy) is the source of this 527-nucleotide long non-coding RNA. RefSeq lists it as uncharacterized. The transcript is spliced from 2 exons. The record is from RefSeq and is a predicted model, not a curated record. Lineage: Eukaryota; Viridiplantae; Streptophyta; Magnoliopsida; Ranunculales; Papaveraceae.
UUUCCCUUUCUCUCUCCAGAAAAAUUGAUCUCAACUGCAGGAAAAAAAAAUUGAUCGAAAACCGAUUCAAAAUUCUUAAAAACAAGGUUUUUGAUCUCAUUAGAUGUUUCAUAAGAUAAAGCUGAACAUAUAACAUCCGAUAAGGCAGGAAAAAGAUUAGGUUUCAUGGAAUCAAUUUAUCAAAAAUUGAUUUACUGUGGUUUUGAACAACUUGAAUUUGAAGAUUGAAACAACAGUAGUUCUACGAGUAUUGUGCACACCGCUAUAUGACUGUAAUACGAGUCACGGUUCCUAAGACGGUAGAUGCGGAAUGGAAGCCAUUGUGUAGUAAAUGUAACCGAGAGGUUGGGUAAGCUGCUUCGGCAGUGGAUUUCAAUUUUUUGAUAAUACAUAACGUUGUUAUUUACUUUAAUCAUUUGAUUACCUUGUGAGCAUGAAAUUUCUUCAUUGGCUAUUCUCUGUAAGCUGGUUAUUAUCUCACAGUUAGAUGUACGGUAGUUCAUGCUUUGUAGAAUUUAACUGGAUUA